Molecule: transfer RNA, 72 nt
Filed under: Camelus bactrianus (Bactrian camel)
Lineage: Eukaryota; Metazoa; Chordata; Mammalia; Artiodactyla; Camelidae
Also listed under: 1 other name
Rfam family: tRNA
About the family: Transfer RNA (tRNA) molecules are approximately 80 nucleotides in length. Their secondary structure includes four short double-helical elements and three loops (D, anti-codon, and T loops).
Source: Rfam by way of RNAcentral
GUGGGUACAGCUCAGUGGUAGAGCACAUGCCUAGCAUGCAUGAGGUCCUGGGUUCAAAUCCAAGUACUGCCA